UACAGAGGGUGCAAGCGUUAAUCGGAAUUACUGGGCGUAAAGCGCACGUAGGCGGCUUUCUAAGUCAGGGGUGAAAUCCUGGAGCUCAACUCCAGAACUGCCUUUGAUACUGGAAAGCUUGAGUUCGGGAGAGGUGAGUGGAACUGCGAGUGUAGAGGUGAAAUUCGUAGAUAUUCGCAAGAGCACCAGUGGCGAAGGCGGCUCACUGGCCCGAUACUGACGCUGAGGUGCAAAAGCGUGGGGAGCAAACAGGAUUAGAUACCCUAGUAGU
Molecule: ribosomal RNA, 271 nt
Filed under: uncultured bacterium
Lineage: Bacteria
Description: partial 16S ribosomal RNA
Rfam family: Bacterial small subunit ribosomal RNA
Source: RNAcentral